CCGUUUCCAAAGAGCUGUGCUGGGGAAUUCUGGGAAAUGUUGAUCUGGCGCUCCAGGUAGUAGCCAGGACUUCCGGCCCAGGGCUCGAGGUUAUUCCCGCAUUUACCUUGCUGGUGGCUGGCAGGUCUCACUUACCAAGAAAGACCUCACAGAGGUGGACGGGUGAGAGAUCAUGUAGCAGGGCCCCGCGUGAGGACUUGGCAUUCUUUUCCUACAAAGAUUAUUUUCAUAAACGGAGAAUAUGUGGGAUGUACAACUGAUUUCCAAUUUUUAGCUCACAUAUGAGGCUUGGUCAUAAAUGGGUCUCACGAAUGCUUGGUGGAUUGGGACCUAGUGGACCACCUAUUGGCUUCUGGAAAACCUGUAGAUCAUGAUGAAAAUUCAGUGCUGCAGGCGCAGCUCAGUAUCCCAGUGGUCCAGAGCCCAACAGCAGAGAACCCUCGUGAGUGGGGCACCAAGGACAGAAGUCGCACCUGACAUUUAUCAGACCUUAUUCAGGACAGAGGCCUUAAAAGGGUAAGACCAUGAUCAGCUCUUUAACAAAAGCACAAUGAUGGAAAUACCAAUACCAGUUUCCACUAAGAUACAAGCUCCACGAGGGCAGAGAUUGAAAAACACGAAUGAAGGAAUGAAUGGGAUAAAGUAAAGUAUCUUAGUGCCUUGAGUUUGUAAUUCUUCUCACCAGAGUUAAUCAUUCUGGAUGUUUGUUUGAUUUCUAAAAAAUUUCUUCCUUUCAAACACUUGAUUCAAAUUUAAUUACUGAAUGACCACAGUUAUAAGUGGGAUGUGCAUCCUCUUCGGCACCGCAAAACUCCUCUGCUUGAAAUCAGAUUAGAAACCGCCGCCCUCCCUUCUCCUCUUUAGACUCCAGCUCCGAGGACUAUCCAUGAAGAGGAUGAAAGCCCCAUUCUGGUUCCCUUGCCUGGGCCACAUGGGAGCCCGGGGUUUUAUUCACCCACAGGUGCCAGCAACUGUGGGCUGCCUCAAAAGGCACAGGCGACCGGGGACCAGGAGUGGAGAAGAAGGGAGGCUCGUUCAGGUCGUCCUGUUCCUGUGAUCCGCCUGUCAAGCAUUUUAAUUGUUUCUCUGUUGGCUUAUGCCUCUUUCUCAUAUUGAUUUGUAGGACUUCUUUUUGUAAUUGAAUAUAAGCCCCCUGUCAAGUGUAUAUAUAUAUAUAUAUUGUAAAUAUCUUCUCCCAUGCUGAUUUACCUGUUCAUGGUCUUUUGACUUGUUUUUUAAAUAAAAUUUCAAACCCAUGUAAAAGUA
This is a non-coding RNA of Manis javanica (Malayan pangolin), 1266 nucleotides long. Lineage: Eukaryota; Metazoa; Chordata; Mammalia; Pholidota; Manidae. The record is from RefSeq and is a predicted model, not a curated record.